GCUUCCUUCCAAAGGUGGAUUGAUUUGUGAUGUUGAGAUAAUCAACCAUAUGUUGCAGCAGGUACUCCGAUUUACCCCCGGGAUGAUUGGCUUCCCUUUGAACAAGUAUGAAGUCAGAGUACAGUUGGUGGGUGAUAAGUUCUCAAGAACCAAACAUAAUUGAAGCACUGAAGAAGACUGCAAGAAGUCAAGAAGGGAGCAGGAAGAAGUAAGUGGUGAUUAAGCAUUUCACAAGCUCCUAGGUGAACCCAGCCCACCUGUGAUCACAGGUAAGACAAUAAGAAACAACACAUCAGGGUCAUUCCAGUGACUAACAGAAAAAAAUAAAAGUAUAAACUAGGUUUAUGUUUCAUCUUAGCCUAUAUGAAUCAAGUACAGUCUCAGUCCUGGCAUCUCUAAGGAGUCAAAUACUUUUUAAUAAACCUAGUUUAUUUAUAUAUAUAUAUUCUAAUUACCAACUAAUUUAUAUUUUUUCCAGUUAUUAACAUUUUAACACUGGUCCACUGGUUCUUUUAGUGUGAGAAGUGAUCUGAGUUUCUUGAAUGACAUUGCUGCUCAGAUAAUUUCUAUUUUGUUUUACUGAAAAUCACAAAGAUCAUAUGAGACGCUUCUAUGCUUGCUUAAGUACUAGUGUUAUAUCUCUUUUUAUGUGCUGUUUUAAUUGUCCAUCAGUUUGCAGAGAUUGGAGCCCUCUAUUGAAAUUUGCAAAGUGUGACACUGGUUGCACACACGUGUCCUGUAAAUGUGCUAAGGAAAACCAAAACCACUCAGGCAGAGUUAAAAACCUCCAAAAAAUCUGAUUUUUCUUAUACUAAGAAGGAGUAUAUAUAGAAGAGUUUACUGCUGAACUUGGUGUGUAGUUUGAUAGUAAUUUAUUACUACCUGAACUAUAGAAAACUGUUUGCAUGCCCAAAGUUCCUGCCUGUUAGAACUGUUCUGUAGAAAGGGUCUGUGUGUAGCUGCAAAAGAAAAAGAACAAAUGGACGUGCUCCAUGCAAGUCUGCUUGGGCCUAAGAGCAGCUCUGUGGGAUCAGAGACAUUGGCAAAGCGGAGGGAAGCAUGCUCUUGUAUUGGAAGAACUGAUAGAGUUGAAGGGUGAACAGAAGAGAAAAACAUUUGGAUAUUACCAGCAUUCUUUCAGUUUCGCCUCCUCAGUUAUCCUUGCCUACAAGCACUGCAGGUAAGGACCUACUUUCUUUUUUCUUUCUUAAAAGGAUGCAGUUGGAUGAGGGGUGUGUGUGUGCAUCUCACAGCUCCACAGGCAAUCCACUAGAGGCUAAUAAUUAAGAUAGGAUGUCAUCAAAGAAACACAGGCAGUCAAGUACUUCUGUGUCUAUCCGUAAGUGGAAGCCACAGCUGUAACAGCUUGAAACAAACCGUAGUUAGUAUUUUUCACAGAGAUGGGUAGUUUAUACAGAGCAUGUAGAGAUAGAUUGGAGCUUUGGAAGAAAGGAAGGAAUCUGUAAAUUUCCAUAGCUCAGGAUUAGAAUGUGACAUUUCCCUUCACAAGAAAAAUUAUCUUCUGGAUCCAUUCCUUCCAGUAUAUCAACAACUUUCUCUCAAUUACCUUUUAGUUCGAGUGAAUAAAAGGCUGCAAUCAUCCUU
This is a long non-coding RNA of Centrocercus urophasianus (Greater sage-grouse), 1605 nucleotides long. RefSeq lists it as uncharacterized. The record is from RefSeq and is a predicted model, not a curated record. The transcript is spliced from 3 exons. Lineage: Eukaryota; Metazoa; Chordata; Aves; Galliformes; Phasianidae.